Molecule: long non-coding RNA, 1492 nt
Filed under: Mus musculus (house mouse)
Lineage: Eukaryota; Metazoa; Chordata; Mammalia; Rodentia; Muridae
Description: long non-coding RNA chr8:88151378-88152870
Source: RNAcentral
AGCUGUCUGAAAUGGGGAAGUAGAGAAUUGUGAAGAGAAUUUUCAUUUAAAGGGUCACUCAGCUGGAUACUGGGAGUGUGAAGGCAUGAAGAGCAGGAGGCUGCAAAGGAAAGGUGACAAGCUUUGGCUAGGAGCGUACAGUUCACAUUCUCUCAUGGGCCAGGGCCAGGGGUGGCUUGUUCUUAUUCACGUGGAGUUAAUUGAAAGUAAUUGUCUUGAGUCAACAUCUUACAGUUCUGAUUAGUUUAUAUGACUUAGAAUUCUUUAAAUAGAAUAUAGCUCAAUGUAAACAUAUUUUCUUGUAGAUUUUGUUUGCUUGCCUGUUUGUUUUAGCUGCCCUAGGAGGUGGGGCUAUGAGUGUUUACCACCAGGCCUAAAUCUUACAUCCUUGAAGACUUACAAAACAAAGUUUUGUGGUUUUUUUUUUAAAUUAUUAGAUUUUUAUUUUAUUGGAAGGGAUAAGUUUAUGCCAUAGAACGUGUGUGGAGGUCAAAGGGCAACUUGCAGGCAUCAGUCCUCUUUUGCUUCCACGUGGGGCCUGAAGAUUAAAUUCAGAUUAGGCUUAGCAGCAGGAGCAUUUAGCCACUGAGCCAUCUCUCUAGCAUGCAUAUAAUUAAUUUAAUCUUAGUGCUUUGAAGGAAUCAAGCUUUUUAUACAUGUGAACAACUCAAGCCUUGUGUUAAGUAGGGGUAUAUGCAGAAGUCAAAAGGCCAUCUUAUCCUUAAGUUUACUACAGCCAGACAGUGCCAGCCAGGCUAGCCAAAGCAGUAGGCUUGUGAUUCAGUGAGAGACCCUGUUGCUGCAUGCAGCAUGGCUCUAAGGACAACCUGAUUGGAGUACUAAAGGAAUGAAGGAAAGACAGAUACAAACAGGAAGCUGGGAUCCAGUGGGCUGGGCUCUUGGCUGAAGAAACUGUACCACCCCAGAAUUUCAUGUUUAUUAAUUAUAUAGAGUUGAACAGAGAGGUGAGGUUAUUACAUACAGUUGAGCAAGGAGUUUGGGUUAUUACAUACAGAUAAACAAGGACACGAGUUUAGCUAAUCUUGGUAGGAGCAGUCUCUGUGACAGAGAAGUCUUCAGGCCAUAAAUAUCUUGGGCCAGAAAGCUAUGGUGGACAUUUUCCACAGACACUAUCAACACCCAUACAUGGGUCAGAGGAAAGGCUUUGAGGUUUCUCCAUGGUCUGAGGUUCUAAGCUUGGCAUGGCAGUAACCAUGUCAACAAUGCACAUUCACUCAGGACUCUCUCCGCUUCCUAUACCCUGCCUCAAGGCAAGGAGACAGGCUGUGACAGAGGAAGCCUGCUUUACCGUGUGUAUGCACGUGUGCACUCCUGUGCCUACACUACUUACAUAGGCAUGCACACAGAAGGGCUAAGAGUAUUGUCCGUGGUAGAAUACAUGCUAAUUGUGUACAAGAAACACAGUGAAAGAGAAAGAGGGAAGGAGAGAAAUAAAUUCUUGAGCUCAUAAAAUACAGUGUUUUCUCAAAGC